AGGGCUAUAGCUCAGUUAGGUAGAGCACCUCGUUUACACGUGCGCCAAUGUUUU
This 54-nucleotide transfer RNA is filed under the name Melastoma sanguineum. RNAcentral's name for it is "partial tRNA-Val". The record is from RNAcentral. RNAcentral also lists the same sequence under 2 other names. Lineage: Eukaryota; Viridiplantae; Streptophyta; Magnoliopsida; Myrtales; Melastomataceae.